This 466-nucleotide ribosomal RNA is filed under the name uncultured bacterium. RNAcentral describes it as "SSU rRNA". It matches the Rfam family "Bacterial small subunit ribosomal RNA", at positions 26 to 518 of the family's 1533-position model. The record is from RNAcentral.
AGAGCGAACGCUGGCGGCAGGCCUAAAACAUGCAAGUCGAACGGACCCUUCGGGGUUAGUGGCGGACGGGUGAGUAACACGUGGAUAACCUUCCUUCAGGUGGGGAAUAACCCAGUGAAAAUUGGGCUAAUACCGCAUAACAUGACGAUGCCACAUGGUGUUGUCUUCAAAGGCGCAAGUCGCCAGAAGAGGGAUCCGCGGCCGAUUAGCUAGUUGGCGAGGUAAUGGCUCACCAAGGCAAUGAUCGGUAGCCGGACUGAGAGGUUGGCCGGCCACACUGGAACUGAGACACGGUCCAGACUCCUACGGGAGGCAGCAGUGGGGAAUUUUCGUCAAUGGGGGCAACCCUGAACGAGCAACGCCGCGUGCAGGAAGAAGGUUUUCGGAUCGUAAACUGCUUUUCUCGGGGAAGAGAACGGACGGUACCCGAGGAAUCAGCCCCGGCUAACUACGUGCCAGCAGCCGC